UGGGGAAUUUUGGACAAUGGGCGAAAGCCUGAUCCAGCAAUGCCGCGUGUGUGAAGAAGGCCUUCGGGUUGUAAAGCACUUUUGUCCGGAAAGAAAUCCUUGGCUCUAAUACAGUCGGGGGAUGACGGUACCGGAAGAAUAAGCACCGGCUAACUACGUGCCAGCAGCCGCGGUAAUACGUAGGGUGCAAGCGUUAAUCGGAAUUACUGGGCGUAAAGCGUGCGCAGGCGGUUUGCUAAGACCGAUGUGAAAUCCCCGGGCUCAACCUGGGAACUGCAUUGGUGACUGGCAGGCUAGAGUAUGGCAGAGGGGGGUUAGAAUUCCACGUGUAGCAGUGAAAUGCGUAGAGAUGUGGAGGAAUACCGAUGGCGAAGGCAGCCCCCUGGGCCAAUACUGACGCUCAUGCACGAAAGCGUGGGGAGCAAACAGGAUUAGAUACCCUGGUAGUCCACGCCCUAAACGAUGUCAACUAGUUGUUGGGGAUUCAUUUCCUUAGUAACGUAGCUAACGCGUGAAGUUGACCGCCUGGGGAGUACGGUCGCAAGAUUAAAACUCAAAUGAAUUG
This 565-nucleotide ribosomal RNA is filed under the name uncultured bacterium. RNAcentral's name for it is "partial 16S ribosomal RNA". It matches the Rfam family "Bacterial small subunit ribosomal RNA", at positions 355 to 912 of the family's 1533-position model. The record is from RNAcentral.